AAAAGGCCUCCCAGCUGCUGGGCAAUGCCAGGGGUUAGUGGCUCAUACCCUGACCCUCACUGGAUGGGACCUGCCUGGCCCAAGGAAAUGAAGAGCUGUUGCCAGGACCGCCCAGCCAAGAAAAUAUGAACAACAUGCCUUGCUCUGCCGCCGAACUCCCAACUCUCAGUGCCUCCAGGGAGGGCAGGGAGACGGCCACGGCCCGGGCCCUCCCAGGCAUGUUCUCGGCCGGCUUCCCCCAGCGUGUGGAAAGUCCCUGGCUGUGGUCGCACCCACGUAAAAUGUCCUGGCUCCCAUGUCCAUAAAUUGACUCCAUCCAAGGGGUGGAUAGGCAGGGAGUAGUGAUCUGGAGAGGGCGCGGGGCUCCAGAUCAGCCUUGCACCCCAUUGGCUGUGUGACUCUGGGCCUCCAGGUCAAGGUGAAGACUGAUGAAAGCCUUAGACUGCAAAGGCUGAUGUUUUCCUUGCAGAUCCAGAUGCCAACUUGGGUCAUCAUCUCUCGCUACACUCUUGGCAUGAGUCCUUUUCAAAGGCCUAACAUUGACUGCCCCUACUUUUGGGGGCCAGGUGGACUGUCCUGAAAUUUAAGUAAUAGGUGCCCUUGAUGGGGCCUGGCACUUCUUCAUCAGCCCCAGUUUUAACUUCAAGAAUGACUGGAUCGAAUGAAUUGGCAAACAUGUACUGAGUAACUACUAACUACAAAUAUAGAUGCUAGAGGCAGGGGGCUAGCAAAGACUAUGAAACAGCUCCUACUGUGAGUAAGGGCAGAGGAGACUGUGGGGCUCGAGUUUUCUCUUGCCUUUACUGUAUCCUGAUUAUUGUCAAUUCCCAGGUGGUAUCCCCUAGACUGGGGCUGUCUAGGUGGCCACAUUUUCUAGCUGGGUAGCUCAGCCAGGACAAGAUUUCCUCAGAGAGGGGUUGCCAAGUCAAGAAAUUUACUUCUGCAAAUGAUAACAGCCAGUUAGUACAGAUGGUAUGAAAACUUCUGGGAGCAAGCCCCACAGUCUGGGAAGAAUAUCCUUUGUGAUAAAGUGACACAGCAUCAGAAAAAGCUAAUGAGAGAUGUGUUAGAUGUUCAUUGCUGUGUAAUUACU
Long non-coding RNA from Odocoileus virginianus texanus, 1093 nucleotides. RefSeq lists it as uncharacterized. The record is from RefSeq and is a predicted model, not a curated record. Lineage: Eukaryota; Metazoa; Chordata; Mammalia; Artiodactyla; Cervidae.